Molecule: long non-coding RNA, 2044 nt
Organism: Engraulis encrasicolus (European anchovy)
Lineage: Eukaryota; Metazoa; Chordata; Actinopteri; Clupeiformes; Engraulidae
Exons: 6
Source: RefSeq, a predicted model, not a curated record
GGCAAUAUUGGUCAAAUUAACUGUGACAUUGGUAACUAUUAAACAAACAAAUUGGUUAUCUAACAACUAAUAUCAUUGGUUAAGAACAAAUUGGUUGAUUUAACAAAGAUAUUGGUUAACUUUAAUAACAGAUUGGUUGAAAAAUGACUAAUAUCAUUGGUUAAGCAAAUGUUAACUAAGAGAUUGGUAACUGACGCAGGUCUGACGCUCAACGUCAAGUACGUAACUCUGCUUCUCAAUUUUCUGACAAAGCCGCCAUCUUGGUGCUGCAGGAAAGCCGUUUGAGAUAUUGGUGAAAUUCAAACACUUUGUGAGAUGACAGAAUAUUGCUGAAGGAUCCUACAUGGAAGCUGGCUGAUUACACGGAGUGAUUCCUCUGGUGUGGUGUACCUCAGAGAAAUAAACACUGUUGCAAGAGCUGAGAAGAUGGUCAAGAUAUCCUUAUUGCUGGAUGGUAGCUCUCUGGUCGUAGUGGACCAUAUCUGCAAAUGCUUCUGAACAUUGACAGAAUUUCUAAAGAUGACUGAGAAUAUUACUGAAGGAUCCUACAUGGAAGCUGUCUGAUUACACUGAGUGAUUCCUCUGGUGUGGUGUACCUCAGAGAAAAUAAACACUGUUGCAAGAGCUGAGAAGAUAUCCUUAUUGCUGGAUGGUUGCUCUCUGGUCGUACUUGAGCCCCCUGGACCAUGUCUGCAAAUGCUUCUGAACAUUGACAGAAUUUCUAAAGGAUCGCUGAGGACUCCCCCUCCAUGCGUGACAUCUUUAAGAAAUUUCCACGCUUUCUGGAGAUGCCAAGUUUGGUACGUCUGCCAGACAUUUUUUUAACCUUUAUUUAGAAAGAACAAGUCACGAUAUAGUUGUGUGCAUUGUUGAUUUUGGCUAUACUUGGUGUUAAUUAAGCUUCCUGAUACUGCAUGAUUUAUACCGUUCACUCAGUAGAGUAAAGCUUUCUAUAUAACCUGUUAAAACAGGGCGUUAUAAAUUUUGUGGUUACCAGAAUGGCAAUUACUGAGUCGCAGUGCAUUACUAAAGGCCCUAUGUUAUGUCAUAGUAGAGCAGUACUGGCAAUUAACCUUUCAAUGACUAUUACAGCAUGUUUCAGAUGGUAUGGCGUGCAUUAUGGGGCUAAGCACCAUUGAUGUAUCUCUCUCUCUCUCUUUCUCUCUCUCUCUCAAAUCUUAAAAAUUCUUUCAGACUGGAACCAACUUUGCAUCCCUCGGCACUGACACUGAGAAGGUUUCAAGGACCCCACUACUAGGAGGCGAGAGUUUGACACGGCAGUGUCAUCACUGCCAUGGAUGACAACGUAACCAUUCCUGUUGCUGAUUGCCUGACUUGCGCAGUGACAAGCUUUCCAUGCUCUACUGGGUGUGUAACUUGGCAUAUCCACCACAGUUUAACUCUGUUUUUGCCUCUUUUGAAUAUGUGUACGAUAUAACCAUCUCAACCAACAAGUGGGCCAAGGUACUGGAACAUUUCUCACUUCAAGUUGCUCUGUAGUCACUGGACAUUUUUUUAAACAUCUACGCAGACACCACCACUCCACACCAUGUGUAUUUUAAUUACUUCUGAUUCCACUGACAUGCAGACUACAUCCUAUGCAAAUUCAGGUAAUUUACCUGGUACUGGAGAAACAGCAUUGUAUGCCAUUCUAAGUGAUACUUGCCUCCUUGUUUUGCAAAAAUGUACUGUUCUUUGAAUAUAACUUAAAGUAAGAUCAUGUUGACUCUAAGGUUUUCUCCGGUUGUCAAGCACAACCUUAACGUUUUGUAAGUAAGUAAUAGUCACAGGAUAUGCAUGCAUUUGUAAUUUGAAUUUUCGUCAAACGGCUCACCAAGCAUAAAAUGUUACCUCUGCUUUUGAUUUUUCUUUUUUUUUAAAUGUCCCUUAAUACCAGCCUGUCUUUUUGUUGUGUCCACACAACUUUACUAUCAUCAGUGUUGGGAAGGAACAGAUUGCUGUAAGUUACUGUAUCCCCAUCCUUUCAGAUCAGUGCUUUAAAGCCUUUUGAAAUUAAAUUGUUAAUAAACUUUGUGAAAACAAA